RNAcentral lists this ribosomal RNA (492 nucleotides) under uncultured bacterium. RNAcentral describes it as "partial 16S ribosomal RNA". It matches the Rfam family "Bacterial small subunit ribosomal RNA", at positions 29 to 507 of the family's 1533-position model. The record is from RNAcentral.
AGUGAACGCUGGCGGUAGGCCUAACACAUGCAAGUCGAACGGCAGCACAGUAAGAGCUUGCUCUUACGGGUGGCGAGUGGCGGACGGGUGAGGAAUACAUCGGAAUCUACUUUUUCGUGGGGGAUAACGUAGGGAAACUUACGCUAAUACCGCAUACGACCUACGGGUGAAAGCAGGGGAUCUUCGGACCUUGCGCGAUUGAAUGAGCCGAUGUCGGAUUAGCUAGUUGGCGGGGUAAAGGCCCACCAAGGCGACGAUCCGUAGCUCGUCUGAGAGGAGGGUCGCCCACCCUGGAACUGAGCCACGGUCCAGAGUCCUACGGGAGGCAGCAGUGGGGAAUAUUGGACAACGGGCGCAAGCAUGAUCCAGCCAUACCGCGUGGGUGAAGAAGGCCUUCGGGUUGUAAAGCCCUUUUGUUGGGAAAGAAAAGCAGCAGGUUAAUACCCCGCUGUUCUGACGGUACCCAAAGAAUAAGCACCGGCUAACUUCGUG